UAAGGAAUAUUGGACAAUGGAGGCAACUCUGAUCCAGCCAUGCCGCGUGAAGGAAUAAGGCCCUAUGGGUUGUAAACUUCUUUUAGACGGGACAAAACCCCUUUACGUGUAAAGGGUUGAUGGUACUGUCAGAAUAAGCACCGGCUAACUUCGUGCCAGCAGCCGCGGUAAUACGAAGGAUGCAAGCGUUAUCCGGAAUUAUUGGGUUUAAAGGGUGCGUAGGCGGACUAAUAAGUCAGUGGUGAAAGCCUGCAGCUUAACUGCAGAAUUGCCAUUGAUACUGUUAGUCUUGAGUACAGUUGAGGUAGGCGGAAUGUGUCAUGUAGCGGUGAAAUGCUUAGAUAUGACACAGAACACCGAUUGCGAAGGCAGCUUGCUAAGCUGUAACUGACGCUGAGGCACGAAAGCGUGGGGAGCAAACA
Molecule: ribosomal RNA, 422 nt
Filed under: uncultured bacterium
Lineage: Bacteria
Description: bacterial SSU rRNA
Rfam family: Bacterial small subunit ribosomal RNA
Source: RNAcentral